RNAcentral lists this unclassified non-coding RNA (352 nucleotides) under uncultured Glomus. RNAcentral's name for it is "SSU rRNA". It matches the Rfam family "Eukaryotic small subunit ribosomal RNA", at positions 569 to 925 of the family's 1831-position model. Lineage: Eukaryota; Fungi; Glomeromycota; Glomeromycetes; Glomerales; Glomeraceae. The record is from RNAcentral.
CGCAGCCGCGGUAAUUCCAGCUCCAAUAGCGUAUAUUAAAGUUGUUGCAGUUAAAAGCUCGUAGUUGAAUUUUGGGUCUGGCCGGGCGGUCCGCCUUCUGGGUGAGUACUGUUCCGCAGUCGGGCCUAUCCUUCUGGUGAAUCGGCAUGCCCUUUACUGGAUGUGUCGGGGAACCAGGACCAUUACCUUGAAAAAUUGAGUGUUCAAAGCAGGCGCAUGCUCGAAUACAUUAGCAUGGGAUAAUGAAAUAGGACGCGUGGUGCUAUUUUGUUGGUUUCUAGAACCACCGUAAUGAUUAAUAGGGAUAGUUGGGGGCAUUAGUAUUCAAUUGUCAGAGGUGAAAUUCUUGGAU